UUGAUCAUGGCUCAGGAUGAACGCUAGCGGCAGGCUUAAUACAUGCAAGUCGAGGGGCAGCAGCUUUAUAGCAAUAUAGAGGCUGGCGACCGGCAAACGGGUGCGGAACACGUACACAACCUUCCUUUAAGUGGGGGAUAGCCCAUAGAAAUGUGGAUUAAUACCCCGUAAUAUUAUUGAAGUGGCAUCACUUUAUAAUUAUAGUUUCGACGCUUGAAGAUGGGUGUGCGGCUGAUUAAGUAGUUGGCGGGGUAAAGGCCCACCAAGCCUUCGAUCAGUAGCUGAUGUGAGAGCAUGAUCAGCCACACGGGCACUGAGACACGGGCCCGACUCCUACGGGAGGCAGCAGUAAGGAAUAUUGGUCAAUGGACGCAAGUCUGAACCAGCCAUGCCGCGUGAAGGAUGAAGGUCCUCUGGAUUGUAAACUUCUUUUAUAGGGGCGAAAAAGGGAAUUCUUUCUCACUUGACAGUACCCUAUGAAUAAGCACCGGCUAACUCCGUGCCAGCAGCCGCGGUAAUACGGAGGGUGCAAGCGUUAUCCCGGAUUCACUGGGUUUAAAGGUGCGUAGGC
This 571-nucleotide ribosomal RNA is filed under the name uncultured bacterium. Its description in RNAcentral is "bacterial SSU rRNA". It matches the Rfam family "Bacterial small subunit ribosomal RNA", at positions 13 to 576 of the family's 1533-position model. The record is from RNAcentral.